AUGGGUCCCAUGCUGCCAUGGCCACUGAGAGAGCUUCGUACAACGAAAACAGGUAUCCUGGUCAGUGAGUCUCACCUAGGGUCUCAAGUCAGCACAGCCCAGAAGAUUUAUAAACAACAGUACAACCCUCCUUGAUAACUACUGGCUAGGGCCUGAGGAUGUCAAAAAUUCCUUAAACCAAGACUAUGGUUAGGGGUCCAUAAUGCAAGGAGGUAGUACUUGAAGUCUCUCUCCUUCCUGUCAUUCAAUAAUCUGCUGGCUAUAGUGAGGUGGAUAAGAACAGAACUCAAAGGCUCAUGUAUUUGAAUGCUUGGUCCUAGUUGGUGAAACUGUACAAAUGUAUAGAGCAGGUGAGUCACUGGGGUAAGCUUCAAGGUUUUCAGAGGACCAUGCCAUUUCUAGUGUGCUCUCUGACUCCUCCUGUUUGCAGCUGGAGAUGUGGGCUCUCAGAUGUUCUUGCUACCAUGCCUUCAUUCUGCCAUUAUGGACUCUAACCCUCUGGAACUAUAAGCCCAAUUAAGUGCUUCCUUUUUUUAGGUUGUCUUGGGCAUGGUGCUUUAUCAUAGCAACAGAUAAAUAACUAAUACACUGGAGUUCUUCACCAUAUAACUGGAGCCAAAAUUCCAGGCCAGUUUUGUCCAAGUAGUGUUAUCCAUUUAAUUGACAUGAUUGCAUAGAACAAACACACUUGUAGAUGUCACACUUAACUUGAAUGUGCUUUAAGCGUUCCAUGGCCAUUAUCACAUAAAACUAACUCUUGUCUAGACCUCAGGUUAUUUCUGCUCACCAAGAACAUCUCUGGGAGAUGUGCAGCAUGGCUCCUCCAUCUAAGCUCCUCUUCUGUAGCUGCAGAAAUGGUGUUGAGCUUAGCCACACUGUCAGCAGCGGGAUUUUAGAAGUAGCUCUGGUGCCCUACCUCAGAACAAUGAGGUCAGCUGGCCCCACACUCCACUCACUUCUCACAACUCUGUACUUCACCUUUACACAACCCUGCCAAGCACUACACUGUGGUCCUCCUGGGGUUGGACAGCAGGUUUCCUCUGCUGCCUAUGCUACCAAGGCUUUGGAAUACAACAGGUACUCAGUGUUUCAAAAUGCACAGACCUACUGUGUGUAAGUUAAAAAUGGAUCCUGUGAGAGAAACUGGGAAAAUAUGGUAUGUGCACUUAAGAACACAUUUGCCCUGGCCCUGUCUUGAAGAGGACUCUGAAAACCAGCUUCUUCAACAAACUUCUUGCUUCCUUUAAACAAGUGAUUACUUCAUGUUAUUAACCAUUCUGUAUGAACUAACAAGAGAAAUGAGAUGCCAAUACACCUGGGCCGGAACCUAGGGUAAGCAUGUGGGCCAGGGCGCUCAUCAUGUGCUGUGUACUAAUGUACACACUUGUCAACAAUUGGCACUUAUGCUUUCUCCACUGUUGAAAUUCUUCCUUUCUUUCUCAUAUCCCAAUUUAAAUAAAACCUAAAUGAAACACUGCUUGUAUCAUUAAUUUCUGUUUCCUACUGACCUGACUGAAUUAGGCUUCCAAAUUAGAAAGUCAUUAGAGAUGAAUUUAUAAAUAUAAAUUUAUAAAAUUGAAAUUUAAAAACUGAUAGUAUAGAAUAAAUUAUAAUAUCAAUAAAGUCUUAAUUCAUUUAUACAUCAAAAACAAUGUAAAAAUGGCUCAUUUUGGGAUAAAGUUCACAAAUGUAUUCUUUAAAAAGAAUGCUAUAAGGGAAAUGAUAUUUGGGUAAGCUUUCUAAGCUGAUCAUUAGGUAAAUGUUCCUUGAGAAGUACCCAAAACCACAGCUGGAAAUUCUUGCUCUAUUUUCUCUUUAUCCUGACUAAGACUUAAGGGAUCAUACAGAAUGCACCCCAUUCCCUCCAACUGAAAGGAUAACAGCUCCAGCAGACAAGUACACAAAGGGGGUUAGACAGGUGACUUGUUUGUCAAAAUGCUUGCAGCGUAAGUAAACAUGGGGACUCAAGUUCAUGUUCUCCUCACUCUUGUUGAAGCUGGUUGCAGUGACAUAUAGCCAACUCCAGUGCUGGAGGCAGCAGAAGGCGGGAAGGUGGAGAUGGGCAGGUCCCAGGCACUCCCUGGCUAGCCAGUUUAGCUGGAACAGUGAGAUCCAGGUUUAGAGAGAGAGAGAUUGUCUCGCAAAAAGUACGAUGGGGGGGGGGGGGGAGGGGGGCUUAGGUGAUGGUUGAGUCAGCAAAGCACUUACCAGACAAGCAGCAGGGCUGAGAUGCCUAGCUGGCCACACAUAUCUGUAACCUCAGCUUUGGUGGGGAAAAGGAAACAGAGACAGGUAAAUCCUGAGAGCUCAUUGGCCAGCCAGCCCCAGCCAAGCUGAUAAGUUCCAGGGUCAGUGACAGAUCAUAUCCCAAAAGAUCGGAUGGAAAACAAUAGAGGAAAACACCCCACACAUGCAUCGCUCACCACACCAACAUAUAUACAACACACAAGCACACACACAUCACCAUUAGUGGGGAGUGACAGAAAAACUGGUGUCACACUUUCAUGCCUGGGCUCCACAAGCGCCCAACACUCUCCUCCCCUCCUCUCCUUCUCACCCCAGUUUUUUUACUUUUGGAAAUACAAUGACUCUGCUGUAUAGCUACUCGGUUACAUUAAACUUUCCCUCCCUCCAGUUUUAAGUUCUGAUGAACCUUCAGUUGCCAUCAGGAUUGCAGGAUACGUAGGUGCAUGGUGUGAAGAUAAAGAUAAACUUUACAAAGCCAGGGUUUCUAUCAGGUAGGGCUCUAGGAUAAGCAAACCAGUGCACAGGACAUUUACAACAUGCAUUUCUUCUGCCGUCAGUAAGAACAGAAGCCCAUAUCUGUGCACUGUGAGGAGCUCUGGGCCACAGUGCAGGAUUCCUGAGGCCAUUUCCAUUUUCAUCCAGAGACACUGGUGAUUUAACUGGAGAAAAUGCUGUCGGUGAUGAGGAAGAACUCAAGGGCAGGUUCUGAGUGUAUCUGAGUGCCUGAGAAGGACCCAUGAAAGAAUAAUUAAAGAGAAAACUUAAAAUGGGCUCAUUAAAACUUAUAAUGUAUGCUUUAAAAAGCUUAAGAACGUGUGUUUAUUAUUAAGGAGACAAAAGGUCAGGUUACAAAGUAAAACAGUUAUAUUAGUUAUAUUAAUGUCUGGAUUAGAAGUCACAAUAUAUAGACUCGAUGAUACAAAUAUACAGACACAAUUUAAAAUAAAUAAACCCACAAAAAAACUUCACAAAACAAGACAUGUAGCAUAAACACUGGACAGUGGUUAGUGUCACUGAAGAAAAGCUACCAAAACCAGAGAGGCACUGACGCACAGGCAUGAACACCAGAUAGAGGUGAGGGUGAAGGCAGCAUGCACGCCCACAGGAGGAACAUGGCAUACCUGUGGGAAGCAGCCAAAUGUGCAUGUCUCCUAUGACCUGAUAAAUCUAUCCCUGAAAGUGUCAAGAACAAAAACCACACCAUAAAAGGAUGCCUGUAAGAGCAAUUACACAGUAACCUUAUUUCCAACUUCAAACUGGAAACAAUCUAACUCCACCAUGGAAGAAGCAACAGGCAUGUUCCAAACAUGGCACAUCACUCACCAGUAUAAAGGACAGAUGCUGAUAAUCAGAUGGACGGAGAUGCCUCUUAAAACAGCACAGCAGGUGAUCAAAACAAAACUUACAGCAUGCACUAUGAUUCCAUUUGUAAUCCCAUUAGAUAGUAACAGAAAAAAGAACAGCAGUUGUCUAUGGAAGGUGUGGAGGUCUGAAUGAAAAUGGCUCCCAUAGGCCCACAGGAGGUGUGGCCUUGUUGGAGUAGGCGGGUCUUUUGUCUGAGAAAGUGUGUUACUUAGGGUGACGUUUGUGGUCUCAGAUGCUUCAGCCAGGCUUAGUGUUUUACUCAGUUCCUGCUGCUUUUGGACCCAGAUGUAGAACUCUCAGCUCCUUCUCUAGCAUCAUGACUGCUUGCAUGCUGCCAUGCUUCCUGCCAUGACGACAAUGGACUAAACCUCUGAAUAAGCCAGCCCCCAGUUAAAUGUUUUCCUUUAUAAAAGCUGCCAUGAUCCUGGAGUCUCUUCACAGCAAUAGAUCUCUAAGACAGGGACUGAGUGAAAGGCAGUUGUGGAAUGGUGAGCAGUGAGGACGUGUUCUACAUCUUGAUUGGCAUGUUAGGUAUAUGUGAAUGUGCAUUUGCCCAAAAUCUCCAACACACACCCUUUAUUAUUUUUGUUUUACAAUGGUUUGGUAGUCUGUUUUAUGUUGCUAAGAACACAAGACUAAACAAGUAAUAACGACCUUUGGUUCACAGUUUGGAGGCUAAGCAAGGCAAGAGGCUGACAGAUGAGGAAAGGCUAGCUACUCGAUGUAAUAUGGCAAAGGGUACCAAUUGUGUAAGAGUUCUCUGAAACCUUAUCAGACAAGCUUCUGUUUGUAUUAUGUGGCAGUAAAUAUGAAGGCCCACAACUGAUCAAGGUUGUGGACAAGGUUGUGAGAAAUCACGGACAUACACGCAGGAACUCACCACACACAGACAGACACACUCAAUCUCAGGGCUAUCCUAGAAUGGGGGCAGGAAGAUCUUAAGAGCCAGAGGCAGUGGAUAUUUUCCACACACAGGGAAACUACACAUAUGACUUCACAGCACAUACAUGCUCAAGCUAGGCAAAACCUCAGAGUGGAAAGAGAAGGUGGGCAAGAUGUCCCAUCCAUAGAUCCAUAGCUGAAGAACUAUUAGUAAUGAGAGAGAGGGAAAGGUAGUUUUCUCUAAGGGCGUGGCCUCUGGUAGGUCAACCACACUCCAGCGACUGUCACACACUCAGCAGUACACUGGCAGCCCAUCCUGAACCUACAGGUUACAAACCAUGACGACACAGGGUCGGUACCGAGGAUGGGAGCUAGGGCUGUGGCCAUGCUACGUAUGUACUCCACUGAUCUACUUACUCCAUCAUCGCAGUAUUUAAAUUCAAGAGUAAAAGCAACCUCCUCAAAGUUGACAGAGCUCUGCUUCGGUGGAAAGCUGGCAGCCCUGGGCUCUCAGGAAGACGGCAUGCUCUCUGAGGCUAUCUGGAGGGUGUGCUUCUGUCACACUCUUGUUAAGAGAAGCAACUCUAGAACCGUGUUCCUUCCCCUUCUGCGGGCUUAGCGACUGUUUGGGGGAAAUCAUUACACGGAAGCAGGAAACAGAAUCCAAAGCUGAGUUUCGGAAUAGGACGCUUCUUUCUCUUACACAUCUCCGUUAUUCUCAGUAGCUAUUAAAAAAGCCUAGCAUUUUACAGUCAC
This is a long non-coding RNA of Mus musculus (house mouse), 5250 nucleotides long. RefSeq annotates it as predicted gene, 36439. The record is from RefSeq and is a predicted model, not a curated record. NCBI's taxonomy places the organism in Eukaryota, Metazoa, Chordata, Mammalia, Rodentia, Muridae. The transcript is spliced from 3 exons.